CCUCCUGUGUGAACUUCACACCAAAGCCACCUGGCAGUUACCUCGGGGGCAUGGUAGGAGAUGCACUGGAAGAUCCAAUCCAUGGCAGAAAAAACACAGAAAGUUUCCCAUGUCGCCAAGCUGAGCUGUUUUGGGAACACGCGCCGCGCAGAGAAGUAACCUGACAAAAAUGGACCCAGCAGAUGUGAGGAAGAAAGGCUGAUCAACUAGAGACAUUUCCUGUUAACACAUGCAUAUUAAUUCUCCCCACUUCCUCAGUACAAUCAACACAUUUUAAUUAUCUGUAACAAACGCGAGUACAAUUUUGUGGGGUUUACACAUUUAAAGAGCUUUAAGGCAAUCUCAA
This is a long non-coding RNA of Prionailurus viverrinus (fishing cat), 346 nucleotides long. RefSeq lists it as uncharacterized. Lineage: Eukaryota; Metazoa; Chordata; Mammalia; Carnivora; Felidae. The record is from RefSeq and is a predicted model, not a curated record. The transcript is spliced from 2 exons.